UGAGGAGGAAAGCUGCAGAGCUUCCUUCUCAGUUUACCCACAGCUCCCACUGAGCCAACACUCACCGGGCUACACACGGACACUAUCACAAAAUGGAACCAGGAACGGAUGAAUCUCCCGAAAACCUAUGGAGAUUAAAAUCUCUUUUUGAGGGAGAAUUUGCCAAGACGACCACGUGAAACCAAAUGGUAUCACAGAGGAAGAUCCCUGAUGACUAACUGCUGUGUGCCAAGGUGGUGUCUGGGGAGGGGCAAGGCUCAGUUGAGUGGUUCACCAGCAUCGGAAACGAGCAAACUGUUUCGUUUGUGCUGACCCGUGAGGAGUUCACAGACAAACUGGGGCCGAUGUGCAGGGGAGUUAUGAAAAGAUUUCAGUUGGCCAAUCAACCUGUCCCCAAAAUCCUGUACGUGGACCGUGGGUGUUGCCGAGCACAGGACCCAACAGCAGUGGAGACUUUGUUUCAGCCUGGGGUGGACUGUGGGUUGGUUGUGUGUCUGGGCAUCUUCCACUGGAUCCACUGGUUUGAGUCCCACUCCAAGUACGCUGCUUUUAAAUCUGCGCUCGCCUGAGCAGUGCUGGCCUACAAUCACAGUCAGUCAGAGCUAAAAAUCCAGCAGUGCUGCAGUCUGCCUCUGAUAAUGACGUUGUCAGGAGCAGCUGAAGCAUCAUGUGCAGAGGGUGACACUCGGGGCUCAGGAAACAUUUCAGCUCAUCCACCUGAUGAGUAGCUUAAAGAUCCUGCUGGAUUGGAUGAGAGUGGAGUGAGCCUCUUCAGAACACCUGAGGCCAUUGAUGGGAUGUGGGCAGCACAACAGAGACAUCUGCAGUGCAUCCAGGAUCCACCAGACAUUAACAUGUACAAGGUGGCACAAACCAACCAUCAACAACAUGGAUGUGUCCUCCUCCAAGUGCCUGCAUGUGUAACAGGUGUGUUAGACAAACCAUUCAUUUCAUCCAAACCCCCCCCCCCCCUUGUUUUUGUUUGCAUCUUUACUUAAUUUUCUUUUGUUCCUUUUAUCAUUAUUAUUGUGUAUUGAUUCUUUUUUGAGGAGCUUUAUUUUAUUUUGACUUUGUGACUUUUACUCGUGAUGUUACCUUGACUUUUACCCUUUGCCACAUCACUUCCUCUCUGUUUGUGCAUCUUUCCUUUGACGGUCCGUGAUCCCGUUGGGAGUAGAGCGACUAUUGAGAAACCGCAUUGUUGCUGUAUCUAACACACAUUUCAUUUAGACCAGAAAAUAAAUUGGUUGGCUGUAACGACGUGCUCUUCUGUUACUCCUUCCCCACACAUACAACGCAGAGAGAGCUGGGCCAGACCAGCCACACAUGGAAACAUCAGCCUGGAAGGAUUCCACAAGACUUUGUCAAGCAGGAUUCCAGGUCCUCACUGUGCAGCACAGCCCUAUCAGGUUUACCUGAUCAGUGGCAUCGUCCAGUGGAACGCUGACAGGAGCUCUGAUGUGGUGUUUAGGGGCAGAGGAUGGUGUUACUGGAACUACUCUGCACCGCUGAUCAACCACCUCAACACCUCCUGUCAGCAGCUGUCUGGGGAGACUGGAGGAGAAUUUCAGGAUCCCUGCUGUUGUCUCCUCCAACGAGCUGCUUGAGUAUGGGGGAAUCCAGACCCUUCUCUCUUCAGGACAUCAUCAACGAUGGACCUGGUCCCGAGCAGGAGGAGGUUCAGUCUGGGCAGCCUGAUCCAGACGAGGCUGAUGACGGGGAGGAACAUGAGCUGGAUGCUGACCUGCCCCACAUCACGCUUAACUAGUGAGGAAACUAUCACCAGGCCUGCAUCAUCCCUCGCUGUAUCCACAGCAGCCCAAAAGAUUGCUGGCGUCUCUGGGAUUACUGGCCCCUCCAGACAGCCCAUCCUGCUUGCUUCAUCAGACCCUGCAACUGCAGCUCACACUGCUGGCACACCUGUGACUACUUCUUCGUGCUGGACAAGAGCAACGCUGUACAAGCAGAAGCUGAAGGGCUACCAGGGUGCAAAAUCUGCCAGCAUGUACAGUCUGUGGCCAGCCAACACAGGGACAUAGAAAGUAGAAAAAAGGCUUUCUGCCCAGUAACAAUGAUGUCCCCGUUUAAAGGUCUGAGCAACAGAGUGUUUACCAGCUACGAGCACUUCACCUCUGCUGUUGACAGUUUGAAUUGUAAAUAUGCUGUAAAUACGCAAGGUUGCUUUGUACAUUUUGUAUGUUUGGGGCACUGAAUUGUAAAUAUCUGUAAAUAUGUUAGAGUUGCUUUUUAUAUGCUGUGAUUGAUUUAGAAAUACAUUAGGUUUGCUUUGUAUAUACUGUAAAUAAUUUUCAUUAGUCUGAGUUUUUAUUUAGUUUUUUACACUUAAAUUGUCUAAAAUCCUGUGUACUGUAUUAUUUUUAUUCAAUAAAGUGAUCUGGAGGAUGGAACUGUGAUCUGUAAAUAGUUGCAUCUUACUGACAAAUUGUAAAUAUUUUUUAUUUUCAUGUCCUUUAAUUCUGAAUCAUGUUCAAUGAUACUUUGUCGACACUAGUGCUGUGGUUUUUCCAUGUUCCUUAGUUCAUGCACUUGAUGUAUUAAAGGGGUCAGUGCUACAGUAACAGUGAGUUGUGGAAUAUCAAUUUAUGAAUGCAAAAAUGGGUAAAUUAAAAUGGAGAACACAGGUGGAC
Molecule: long non-coding RNA, 2648 nt
Organism: Amphiprion ocellaris (clown anemonefish)
Lineage: Eukaryota; Metazoa; Chordata; Actinopteri; Pomacentridae
Source: Ensembl